UAUCGCCACUUCAGAUGAAGGGAUAUCAACCUUAGAAUUUAGAAAAAAUGUCUUUUGAACUAUGAGUCCCAGAAUCCCUGGACAGAGGAGACAUUGAAAUCUAAAAGUUGUAAAGACAGUGGGUAUUUGAAGGAAUUGCCUCCCAUGUGUCAUUGCUCCAAUUUAAAUUUCCCUUUCUUCUGGAGCUGCUAUCACUAAUGUGGGGUGUUUAUGUAUCACAUCCCCUCCAACGGCUGGAGCAAUCAAUAUUACCCCUCUGUUGUCUCACUUUUUUGUUCUGCUUUUAAAAUGCCCCAGUUCCUCUCUUCUCCACCCACCUUCCCUCUUUGUGCUCAGUUUAUUUAAAUUGGCAUUAUAGCUUUAAAUAUUGAAUUUAUAUCCCCAAAUAGGAUGAUGCAAACUACUGGUAAAUUCAAAGUGCAAAUAUAAUUUGCUCUUAGUUCACUCAGCAAGAGGAGAACGCGGGGGGGGGGGGGGGGGAUAGAUUUUGCUUAUGCGUUCAUCCUCAUUGAUAACAUUUUGAUCUGUGAUGUUAUUGGCCAAAUGUGUCCUGAUUUUCAUCAAUGAAAGUUAGAGGGUAUAGUGCCUGACAGGAAUCAUGUGGAUUCUCCAGUUGAUAAUGGUAUCUUAUGUUUUCAGCAGCUCAAGCAGAAGAAGGGAGGAUUCAAGAAGCAGCAGACAGGCAAUCCAGAUUCACAGGCCAGGCAGUGGAAACACAGUACGAUGCACAGUCACCAGUUGUUACCUUUCAGCCGAAUCAAGAUCGUGUCAGUAUUGAAAUACUUCCUAGGUAUCCCACACCACAUACACGGAAGAAGUCAUCCAUCAGAAAAGGUAAGUUGUUAAUAUGUCAGGAAAUUAAUUUUCCUGAUGCAAUAUGUUUGUAGAAUCAGAGUAGUCAUGACACAGUUAUAGGGUGCAUCUACAUUGUAGAAUCAAUGCAGUUUGACACCACUUUAACUGUCAUAACUCAAUAUUAUCUGAUCCUGAGAGUUCUAGCUUUAAAGGCCUUUAGCACUGUGGCCUCACAAAACUACAAAUCCCAGGAUCCCAUAGAAUUGAGCCAUG
RNAcentral lists this long non-coding RNA (1068 nucleotides) under Anolis carolinensis (green anole). RNAcentral describes it as "lncRNA (ENSACAG00000034455.2)". The record is from RNAcentral. Lineage: Eukaryota; Metazoa; Chordata; Lepidosauria; Squamata; Anolidae.